CCUACGGGGGGCAGCAGUGAGGAAUAUUGGUCAAUGGGCGGAAGCCUGAACCAGCCAAGUAGCGUGCGGGAUGAAGGCCCUACGGGUCGUAAACCGCUUUUGCACGGGGAUAACACCCUCCACUUGUGGAGGUCUGCAGGUACCGUGCGAAUAAGGGUCGGCUAAUUCCGUGCCAGCAGCCGCGGUAAUACGGAAGGUCCGAGCGUUAUCCGGAUUUAUUGGGUUUAAAGGGAGCGUAGGCGGGCGUUCAAGUCAGCUGUAAAAUCGCGGGGCUCAACCGCGCCCCGCAGUUGAAACUGGAAGACUUGAGUUCGCGACAGGCAGGCGGAAUUCGUGGUGUAGCGGUGAAAUGCAUAGAUAUCGCGAAGAACCCCGAUUGCGAAGGCAGCGUACCGGGGUGCGACUGACGCUGAGGCACGAAGGUGCGGGUAUCGAACAGGAUUAGAUACCCCAGUAGUC
Molecule: ribosomal RNA, 459 nt
Filed under: uncultured bacterium
Lineage: Bacteria
Description: partial 16S ribosomal RNA
Rfam family: Bacterial small subunit ribosomal RNA
Source: RNAcentral